Molecule: ribosomal RNA, 253 nt
Filed under: uncultured bacterium
Lineage: Bacteria
Description: partial 16S ribosomal RNA
Rfam family: Bacterial small subunit ribosomal RNA
Source: RNAcentral
CACGUAGGGCGCAAGCGUUGUCCGGAAUUAUUGGGCGUAAAGCGCACGUAGGCGGAUUUGUAAGUCAGGGGUGAAAUCCCGGGGCUCAACCUCGGAACUGCCUUUGAUACUGCAAAUCUUGAGUCCGGAAGAGGUGAGUGGAAUUCCUAGUGUAGAGGUGAAAUUCGUAGAUAUUAGGAAGAACACCAGUGGCGAAGGCGGCUCACUGGUCCGGUACUGACGCUGAGGUGCGAAAGCGUGGGGAGCAAACAGG